CUGCCGUGAAUACGUUCCCGGGCCUUGUACACACCGCCCGUCACACCAUGAGAGUUGGGAAUACCCGAAGCCUGUGAGCUAACGUUAAGAGGCAGCAGUCGAAGGUAGAAUCAAUGAUUGGGGUGAAGUCGUAACAAGGUAUC
Molecule: ribosomal RNA, 143 nt
Filed under: uncultured bacterium
Lineage: Bacteria
Description: partial 16S ribosomal RNA
Rfam family: Bacterial small subunit ribosomal RNA
Source: RNAcentral